GAACCCCCAAAGACACACGUGACCCACCACCCCCUCUCUGACCAUGAGGCCACCCUGAGGUGCUGGGCCCUGGGCUUCUACCCUGCGGAGAUCACACUGACCUGGCAGCGGGAUGGGGAGGACCAGACCCAGGACACCGAGCUUGUGGAGACCAGGCCAGCAGGAGAUGGAACCUUCCAGAAGUGGGCAGCUGUGGUGGUGCCUUCUGGACAAGAGCAGAGAUACACGUGCCAUAUGCAGCACGAGGGGCUGCAAGAGCCCCUCACCCUGAGCUGGGCCAUCUUCCCAGCCCACCAUCCCCAUCAUGGGCAUCGUUGCUGGCCUGGCUGUCCUGGUUGUCCUAGCUGUCCUUGGAGCUGUGGUCACCGCUAUGAUGUGUAGGAGGAAGAGCUCAGGUGGAAAAGGAGGGAGCUGCUCUCAGGCUGCGUGCAGCAACAGUGCCCAGGGCUCUGAUGAGUCUCUCAUCACUUGUAAAGCCUGAGACAGCUGCCUGUGUGGGACUGAGAUGCAGGAUUUCUUCACACCUCUCCUUUGUGACUUCAAGAGCCUCUGGCAUCUCUUUCUGCAAAGGCACCUGAAUGUGUCUGCGUUCCUGUUAGCAUAAUGUGAGGAGGUGGAGAGACAGCCCACCCCCGUGUCCACCGUGACCCCUGUCCCCACACUGACCUGUGUUCCCUCCCCGAUCAUCUUUCCUGUUCCAGAGAGGUGGGGCUGGAUGUCUCCAUCUCUGUCUCAAAUUCAUGGUGCACUGAGCUGCAACUUCUUACUUCCCUAAUGAAGUUAAGAACCUGAAUAUAAAUUUGUGUUCUCAAAUAUUUGCUAUGAAGCGUUGAUGGAUUAAUUAAAUAAGUCAAUUCCUAGAAGUUGAGAGAGCAAAUAAAGACCUGAGAACCUUCC
RNAcentral lists this long non-coding RNA (897 nucleotides) under Homo sapiens (human). RNAcentral's name for it is "HSALNT0104290". The record is from RNAcentral. Lineage: Eukaryota; Metazoa; Chordata; Mammalia; Primates; Hominidae.